This 1477-nucleotide long non-coding RNA is filed under the name Cricetulus griseus (Chinese hamster). RNAcentral describes it as "lncRNA (ENSCGRG00015031740.1)". Lineage: Eukaryota; Metazoa; Chordata; Mammalia; Rodentia; Cricetidae. The record is from RNAcentral.
UUCUCUGGCUUUGGGCAUAUAGAAGGCCUUUCCAAUUAAGCAAAUUCUUUAACACAUACUGGGGGUACCUUAGAGUAUACGGUCCCAUUUGAGAAGUGUCAGAUGGCAUACCUGGGGAUGGAGGCAGCUCUCAGACUGGCUCAGGCUUCGGCUGUGCUCUAGAUUCCUUUGGUUUUAUUCCAAGAGACUGCUGAGGUUUAGUGGCCUAGGCGACGGGGCAGGCAAUGGGAAUGGAGCCCAGGAAUGGAGGCUGAGAUUGGGCGAAGGCCACUCAGCUGUUAAUUAUUGCAUGUGAGCAGUACCAGUCAGGCCUCUGUAGGGAUGGGAGUUAAUAGCACUGGCUUGGUUCUGAGGGUGUAUGGCAAGAGCGGGUCUAGCAUGUAUGUUAUGAGGCCCUGGGUUCAAUUCCCGGCAUUACAAAUAAACAAAAGCCUAUGAAAAGCCAAACACUCAGCUCUAAAAACGAAAACAAAACCUUUGUGGCCUGGUCUGCUAAGAUCCAGAAUCCUUUAAGAUCAUUGUAUCCACGUCCAUAUCCUGUUAUACAGAUGAGCAGAAUGAGACCCAGAGAACCACAGCAGAGCCAAUGCCAGGCCCAUCAUGAGAACACAGGCUUCCAACUUCCAGGCCUGCUUGUUGUAAAGAAUAAGAAGGUUCUGAGUCCCCAACUUCUACGAGCUACUAGUUACCCCAACCUCACCAACCCAAUCCUUACCCACUUCCAGUCACAAAAUCGCUGAUGGUCAGGAUCUUCUGAUCGGAACCUCAAGGGUUUGAAAGCCCAGACACCCUUCUCUUCUCACUUCUAUUACACGUCUUUAUGGUCCUUUAAGGAUCUGAGCCAAUUUUGAUAACUCCCACAUCCCACUGAAGCCAAAACAGAAUCCCCCAGGUUUAUCCAACUGUCCAGCCUCCACUAGGGAGCCCAGGGUGCUGCUGCUGUUGGAAAAGGGAGUGGGGAGUAGAUUUGAACAGGAGAAAAUGUAGAGCUGUUGAUCAGGUACCUGUGCCUGUAGCCCCAGAGACGGUUCCAAGUUGCACAUAAAUGUGGGAGCUGCCAGCGAAGUGUCUCAAUAGAAAUUUAGGUGAGGGAAUAGAGGCCAAUGCCUUGGCGAAUGCCAGGAGAAAGAAAAAGAAAGGGAGGAGAAAGAGGAUGAAGGGAAGGAGAGGAGGCAAUUUGGCCUCUGGAGAAAAAUCAGCCAAAGAGGAAGGCCCUACAAAGAGACCAGCUCCCAGGAGGUCCUGAUUCUAUCUGGCUGCCUUCUCCAUGGUCUCAGAAGUAUAUCCGAAUCCUGUGACACCCCAGGAGUGUUUGUCUCUUGAAGACCAGAACAGGUUGAGGAUCUCCAGGGCCUUCAGGCCUCCUUUCUUGUUUAUACAUCCAGAUGAGCCUACUGAUUAGGGAAGGGUGGGCCAGGUUUCUAUCAAUGCCUGAAGCUGGAGGUCCUGGAUAGAGGGAACCUGCCUCUGACCUGGG